RNAcentral lists this ribosomal RNA (484 nucleotides) under uncultured bacterium. Its description in RNAcentral is "partial 16S ribosomal RNA". It matches the Rfam family "Bacterial small subunit ribosomal RNA", at positions 30 to 507 of the family's 1533-position model. The record is from RNAcentral.
AUUGAACGCUGGCGGCAGGCCUAACACAUGCAAGUCGAGCGGAUGAAGGGAGCUUGCUCCUGGAUUCAGCGGCGGACGGGUGAGUAAUGCCUAGGAAUCUGCCUGGUAGUGGGGGAUAACGUCCGGAAACGGGCGCUAAUACCGCAUACGUCCUGAGGGAGAAAGUGGGGGAUCUUCGGACCUCACGCUAUCAGAUGAGCCUAGGUCGGAUUAGCUAGUUGGUGGGGUAAAGGCCUACCAAGGCGACGAUCCGUAACUGGUCUGAGAGGAUGAUCAGUCACACUGGAACUGAGACACGGUCCAGACUCCUACGGGAGGCAGCAGUGGGGAAUAUUGGACAAUGGGCGAAAGCCUGAUCCAGCCAUGCCGCGUGGGUGAAGAAGGUCUUCGGAUUGUAAAGCACUUUAAGUUGGGAGGAAGGGCAGUAAGUUAAUACCUUGCCGUUUUGACGUUACCAACAGAAUAAGCACCGGCUAACUUCGUG